AUUGAACGCUGGCGGCAGGCCUAACACAUGUAAGUCGAACGGUAACAGGAAACAGCUUGCUGUUUCGCUGACGAGUGGCGGACGGGUGAGUAAUGUCUGGGAAACUGCCUGAUGGAGGGGGAUAACUACUGGAAACGGUAGCUAAUACCGCAUAACGUCGCAAGACCAAAGAGGGGGACCUUCGGGCCUCUUGCCAUCGGAUGUGCCCAGAUGGGAUUAGCUAGUAGGUGGGGUAACGGCUCACCUAGGCGACGAUCCCUAGCUGGUCUGAGAGGAUGACCAGCCACACUGGAACUGAGACACGGUCCAGACUCCUACGGGAGGCAGCAGUGGGGAAUAUUGCACAAUGGGCGCAAGCCUGAUGCAGCCAUGCCGCGUGUAUGAAGAAGGCCUUCGGGUUGUAAAGUACUCUCAGCGGGGAGGAAGGGAGUAAAGUUAAUACCUUUACUCAUUGACGUUACCCGCAGAAGAAGCACCGGCUAACUCCGUG
This 490-nucleotide ribosomal RNA is filed under the name uncultured bacterium. RNAcentral's name for it is "partial 16S ribosomal RNA". It matches the Rfam family "Bacterial small subunit ribosomal RNA", at positions 30 to 507 of the family's 1533-position model. The record is from RNAcentral.